GCAUGAAUAUACAAGACGAGAAGACCCUAUGGAGCUUUAGACACUAGCCAACUGUGAAUAAGCGACUGAACUGAGCGAGUCCUAAAUACCCACAGCCCUCUGGCAACGUAGUCUUAGGUUGGGGCGACCACGGGAGAAAGCAAAGCUCCCAAGCAGACCGGGAAAACCCUUAAGCCGAGAGUUGCAACUCUAAGCCGCAAAAAUUUUGACUGAAAUGAUCCGGUUGAAAGACCGAUUAACGAACCAAGUUAC
Molecule: ribosomal RNA, 252 nt
Filed under: Anchoa nasus (longnose anchovy)
Lineage: Eukaryota; Metazoa; Chordata; Actinopteri; Clupeiformes; Engraulidae
Description: partial 16S ribosomal RNA
Source: RNAcentral